AUAAACACAUACAACAAAAAGUCAAAAAGGGGAGGAGGAAAGAGGGGGGACAACAGGGAAAAUGGGAGUAAAAAGAGGACAAAGAAAAAAAAAACAUAGCCCGUGCCUCCCUCUUCACUCAUCUUCCUCAGCCUCUAAGCUCACCUAAAACGAGCUUUGCAAACCCCUAAAACCUAGUUGAAAAAUCCACCCCAAAACAGCCCCAAAUAUCCAUUAAAACUACUCUAAACCCACCUUGAAACAAUCACCAAACAGCCCCCCUAAACUCCAGCAAAAUCCAACAGCUUUUUAGCUGCAAAAAACACCAAAAAUCAGCCUCCAAAACAGAUCCAGAACAGCUCAAAAAUGAGCUGGAAAUCCACCCCCAAACCAGCCCUCUUCUCAGUCCAAAAAACGACUCCAAAACAUCCCCGAACAACCUCCUAAAAUUCAGCAAAAGUCCAGCUGCGAACAGCCUCAAAAUCCAGCUCUAAUACAAUCCGAAACUACCCAAAACAGCCCCAAAAUCACUAAAACAAAUGCAGCUGAAAUCACUCUCAAAACACAGCAAAAUCAGUACCUAAAACAGGAUAAAAACAGUCCCAAAACUACCUCAUAAACUUCAGCUAAAAUCAGUCCUGAAAUCCAACUGAAAGAGCCCAAAACAUCACCAAGAGCAAUCUUAAAACAAUCCCAAAACCACCACGAAAGCUGUCGUCCUUCAGCCAAAACCAGCAGCUCCUUCCUACUCUGUUAAUCACUACAAACGAGCUGAGUUCGAGGCGGUUUGGUCGAGGUUCUUUGAGGUUCCGGCAAGGCAUUUGGUUUCCUGUUCGAGGUUCUCAUUUGCUUGACGAUUCGAGAAUAUUUGCAACUGUAGAGGUUCGAUCUUUUUAUCUUGUUUGCUUUGUCUGUUUAUUGUUCCAUUUAGAUGAUAUUUGUUAAUAUGCCUUUUACUUGGAUUUGCUAUUCUCUUUUUGAGCACAUAAUGUUUCUUAGUUGUUAAUGUUUAUCGUUAAGUUUAUUGGUCUUUGUUGUUGAGUAAGAAUCUAAAAGGAAAAUUUUAGAAAAAAUUAAACUUGAAAAAAUGAGGAUAAGUGAUGGUAACAGUAAUGCAUUUGGUCCUAAGGUUUGGUAUUGUAAAAUUUGUUUUCUUUAUCAAAAUAUUUUAAUCAAAUUUAUUUUUUUCCUAGCGCUAGUUUUAUCAUUUGGUAGAAUUAAUUUCUAACGUUAUCUUAACUGUUUUAUAAAAAUUUUAUCAAUCCUUCAAUAAUCCUCUCUUGAUUUGUAAUCAGUACUAAAUAAAAUACUUUCAUAACUCUUGAGCCUCACAAUAAUCUUGACUUAGGAAAUAAAUAACUCACAAAUCGCUAGUAUGCUUUAGGCGCGCUGUAAUAAAUCAAUUAUUGUAAUUGUGUACACAUUCGCGUGACAUGAUUACGAUUUCUAAAAUAAAUCAAAGUACUUGUUCACGCGACUUUGACCAAACAAUCUUGAUAAUAAUAAAGUGUUACUAAUUGUGUACACGUACGCGUGACAUGAUUUUUGACACCAAACAAAAUGAGUACAUGUACGCGUGACUUAUUUCAAGAUAAUUUUUAUAAAUCCAAUAAAGCAAUAAAAGCGGACAUAGUUAAAACAUGAGAACCAAUAAAAUAUAGGUUAUUCAAAAUUAAUUCAAGCCAAGUUGUAGUCAAUAAAGCGACCGUGCUAGAACCACGAGACUCUGGGAAUGCCUUACACUUUUUUUCCGGUCAACGGAAUUCCUUACCCGGACUUUAUUUUCGCAGACCAAUAAUAAUGGAGAUAAACCUUCCUUUGACUAGGGAUUCAAAUAAAAGGUGACUUGGAACACCCAAAAAUUAAUUCCAAGUGGCGACUCUGUAAAUAAAAUAAUCCCUACUCAAGUUUGUCACUUUAAUUGGAAAAACUCUUUAACCCACAAUCCAUAACAUAUAUAUCUUUUGGGGUAGAAACUCAAGCCACCUGCGCUGCCUCAAACUGAAAUCCCUCUGCUUGAACAAAUGCUGCAGGUUUCGAUAAUCGAUAUAAACCUCACAGGACACCCCAUAAAGAUAAUGCCUCCAAAUCUUAAGAGCAUGAACAAUCGCGGCCAACUCCAAGUCAUGUACAUGGUAAUUCUUCUGGUGGGGCUUCAGCUGACGUGAAGCAUAUGAAAUAACUUGCCCCUCCUGCAUCAGUAAACAACCCAAACCAAUGCGUGAAGCAUCGCAAUACACAGUAUACAUCCCUGAACCAAAAGACAAUACUAACACUGGUGCUGGAGUCAAUACGGUCUUGAGCUUCUGAAAGCUUGCCUCGCAAUCAUCGGACCAUCGGAACAGAGCACCUUUCUGGGUCAAUCUAGUCAAAGGUGCUGCAAUAGAUAAGAAGCCCUCCACAAACCGACGAUAAUAACCUGCUAACCCCAGGAAGUUCCUAAUCUUAGUCGUUGUGGUAGGACGAGGCCAACUCUAAACUGCCUCGAUCUUCUUGGGAUCAACCUUAAUACCCUCGCCUGAUACAACAUGUCCCAAGAAUGCCAUAGAAUCUAGCCAGAACUCACACUUGGAGAACUUAGCAUAUAGCUUCUGCUCCCGCAAGGUCUGAAGUACCACUCUCAAAUGUUGCUCGUGCUCCUCCAUGUUACGCGAGUAGAUCAAAAUGUCAUCAAUGAAGAUAAUGACAAACAAAUUAAUAUAUGGCCUGAACACCCUGUUCAUCAAAUUCAUAAACGUCUUUGGGGCGUUAGUUAAGCCAAAGGACAUCACUAGAAACUCAUAAUGGCUAUAUCUAGUCCGGAAAGUCGUCUUCGGGACAUCGGAAUCCCGAAUCUUCAGCUGAUGGUACCACGAUCUCAAGUCAAUCUUAGAAAACACCUUAGCACCCUACAACUGGUCAAACAAAUCAUCAAUACACGGCAAUGGGUACUUAUUCUUAAUGGUAACUUUGUUCAAUUGGCGGUAAUCAAUGCACAUCUACAUAAUCCCAUGUUUAUUCUUCACAUAUAUCACUGGUGCACCCCAAGGCGAAACACUCGGUGUGGCGAACCCUUUUGCUAGAAACUCCUCAAGAUGCUCCUUCAACUCCUUCAAAUUUUUCGGAGCCAUGCGGUAUGGUGGAAUAGAUAUAGGCUGGGUACAUGGAGCCAAAUCAAUACAGAAAUCGAUAUCACGAUCUGAUGGCAUGCUUGGGAGAUCAGAAGGAAACACAUCGGAGAACUCCCGGACCACGAGCACUUAAUCAACUGUUGGAGUCUCUGCAGUAGUAUCCCAAACAUAAGCUAGAUAAGCCAAACACCCCUUCUCGACCAUGUGUUGAGCCUUCAAAAAGGAGAUAACUCGACUAGAUGUACUGACAGACGAACCCUUCCACUCCAAUCUAGGCAACUCUGGCAUUGUCAAGGUAACAGUUUUGGCAUGGCAAUCAAGGAUGGCAUGAUAUGGAGACAGCCAAUCCAUGCCCAGGAGGACCUCAAAGUCGGUCAUAUCAAGCAACAAAAGAUCUGCUCUAGUCUCAUAACCAUAGAAUGUAACAAUGUAGGACCGAUAGAUAUGAUCCACAAUAAUAGAAUCGCCCACUGGAGUGGACACAUAAAUAGGAGUACCCAAGGACUCACGAGGAACACCCAAGUAAUGAGCAAACAGAGAUGAAACAUGUUAAUAACUGGAUCAAAUAGUACUGAAGAAUCCCUACCGCAGAUAGAAAUAGUACCUGUAACCACGGCAUUUGAGACCACUGCAUCUGGUCGGGCUGGAAAGGCAUAAAAUCUGGCAGAAGCGCCUCCUGGCUAGCCUCCACCUCUAGGACGGCCCCUACCCACCUGCCCUCUGCCUCUGGGCGGUCGGACGGCUGGUGGGGCAACUGGUGUUGGAAUCAUAGGCUGCUAACCCUGCUGCACUGCCUUGUCCCAAAGCCUGGGGCAGAACCUCCGUAUGUGACUAAGGUCCCCACACUCGAAACAACCUCUCGGUACGGUGGAUUGCUGACCUGAAGUCUGACCCUGAUGGCCUAAAUACCCACUAGAGGGUGGUCCCUGAAUAGCUGGUGGGCAGUAAGAAGUCUCUAGCAUGGCACUGAAAUAAGGUCGCACUAGAGCACCCCGAGGAGGCGGCGGUGCUGGAUAUGUGGUCCUGCUAGACUAACCCCUCACGAACUGACCCCUGCCCCCAGCCGGGCACCACUGAACUCUCCAGAAUAUCGGAACCGCUUAUCCCUCGUAGCCUUCUCACAACCACGCUGACUUGACCCUCGAUCCUCUAAGCUAUCUCUACAACUAGUUCGCAAGAAGUCCCCAUUUCCACCUCUCGGGCCAUAGUGGCAUGGCUACCACUGUGCAAACCGGAAACAAACCUCCGCACUCUCUCUGCAUCGGUCAGAAGUAUCAUAAGUGCAUGGCGAGACAACUCAUAGAAUCUCGCCUCAUAGUCAGUCAUUGACAGCUAGCCCUGCGAAAGCUGCUCGAACUGAAAUCGCAACUCUUCCCCUAUGAGAGAGCGGAAUAUACCUAUCUAAGAAGAGGCAUGUGAACUAGUCCCAAGUCAUGGGAGGAUAACCUGCUGGUCUGCCGCGAAGAUAUGACUGCCACCACCUACGGGCCCUGCUCUCCAGCAGGAAAGUAGUAAAAUCCACUCCAUGGGACUCCAAUAUCCUUAUGUUGUGCAGCCUGUCCCUGCACCGGUCAAUAAAGUCCUGGGGGUCCUCGUGUCGCUCACCUCCAAAGACAGGAGGCUGUAGCAUUUCAUCUGUCCAAUAGCCUAUGCGGAUCGCCUGUCGCAGCUGGUAUGGGCCCAGGUAUAGCUGCUGCAACUGGCUGAGCUCUGCCCACGGUUAAUGCGCCCGGGGUCAGAUAUACGGCAGUUGCGUGCCCUUGAGCCUGAUAGGUAGGGGUUUGUGCCCCCUCCCGCCUGAGGUGUGGCAGGGUCUGCUGGAAAUAAACCAUCCUGAGUCAUAGAAUCCAAGAACCGUAGCAUACGGCCUAUGACCUCCUAGAAUCCCGGUGCGGACAUGAAAUCCAUUGGGGCUGGUCCUGCUACAGGCACCUCACCAUGCUCCUCAAUAAUGAGAUCCUCUACUGGAUCCACUGGUGGUAUAACUGGAGCAACUCUAGGAUGCCCUCGUCCUCUACCACGAACUGAAGCCCUCCAUCGGCCACCGCCUCGGCCUCUAGCAGUAGGGGGAGCAUCUCCUCCAUGGUCUAGAACAUCCGCUGCGUGCGUUCUCACCAUCUGUGAGAUAAUGAGAGAAAAAUACUUAGUACUACAUCAACUGCACGAUAGGAGAUGAAGAAAGAGUAUUUUUCUAAUACCCUAUAGCCUCUAGAAGAUAAGUACGGACGUCUCCGCACCGAUCCGCAAGACUCUAUUAGGCCUUCUCAUAACUUGUGAGACCUACGUGAACCUAGUGCUCUGAUACCAUGUUGUCACGACCCGCUUUCCUUUAUAGGCCGUGAUGGCACCCAACGUCGCCUCUAGGCAAGCCAACUAUGAACUAAACCAUGUUAUUUCUCUUUAAUAAGUUUUUCAAGUAAUUAAAUUCUAUUUAAUAAUAAAUUAAGGAGUAGGAAAUUUAAUAACUUAAAUGAAGAGAACUGAAUGGCAAUCAUAAUGAUGUAAGUACUCCCAAAAAAUCAUAAAGUCUACUAGUAUGUAUGCCAAGACCUGGUGUCACAAGUAUAUGAGCAACUAGUAGAAUACAAAAAUCUAACUACUGUCUGAAAUAAAGUAGACAGAAUAUAAAUAUAAAAGAGAGACUCUAGGGACUGCAGAAUAGCUCGGAAAACAACUCACCACUAGGCCUCGAGAUAUCUGGGACGCGCGUCGGUAGGACCGCUAGAUGCACCUGCCUCAGAUCCUGCACGGUUAGUGCAGAAGUGUAGUGUGAGUACAUAAACAACAUGUACCCAGUAAGUAACAAGUGUAACCUUGAAGAAGUAGUGACGAGGGUCGAUAUUGAUACUUACUAUGGGCUAAUUAGUAAAGAAAUAUGGGAAACUAAAUGAGCACGGGUUAUGUAUAUAAUAACAAUAACUCAAUAAUAAGCAAAAAAUAAAUAAAUAAACCUUUCACACAUGGUAAGUUCUAAAUAAAUUUCCAUCUUAUAAUAUUUUGCAUCUCAAGCCAGGGAAGUAUAUCAAAUAUAUAAUUACAUAUCGAGUGUUAUCACGCACGAUUAUGCCGAGGUCGUACGUCCCGAUCCGGAAUAAUGUGUACACUACCGAGGGUCGAGCGGCACGAAUCAUAGAUGCAUCUAUCUACUGCCGAGGCGUUCGACCCGCUCCACAAGAAUAGAGGAUACUUUAUAAGCAUUUGACUUAAACGUUAUUAAAGGCUAAUACAUAAUGUAUACAAAUUCUAUUAACGGUCUUUCACAAUUCCUCUAACAAGUUUCAAUAUAAUUUAGGUACUUUAAUUAACAAAUAGGGUGCAAACAUCUUAAAUAAUUCAUGAUUUGGGUCCUAAGACUACCCGGACAUAAGCAUAAUUAGUAGCUAUGCACGGACUCUCGUCACCUCGUACGUACGUAGCCCCCACAAUUAGAAGCAAACAUUAAUUUAAAUUACCUAUGGGGUAAAUUUCCUCUUACAAGGUUAGACAAGAGACUUACCUCGUCUCAAGGCUCACUUUCCGGUCACAAUUUCGCUCUAAAGCCUCAACUUGAUGCUGUACAAUCCAAAACUAGUCAAAUGUUAUAUAUAUUAAUCAAUACAUGUCCAAAAGUUCAUAUUCUAAUUAUUAUAGUGUUACCCAACCCCAAUUGUAGAAUUCCUAAAAUUCAUCCCCGGGCCCACGUGCCCGGAUUCCGAAAAUAUUUGAAGUAAGUUGUUACCCAUAACCUCACGAACUCAAAUAUAUAAUUUUUACUCUAUUCUCUAACCAUUUUCGUGGUUAAAUCCCAUUUUUUAUCAAAACCUAUAUUUUUCAUCUAAACCCAUAAUUCUCACAAUUUUACAUGUUAAAAUAUACCCAUAAUCUAUGUAUUUAACUCAUAUUGUAUAGGGAUUACUUACCUCAAAGUUCUAGGUGAAAACCCCUCUCCAAGAGCUCCAAAAUCGCCCAAGACAUGAAAGAAAAUGAGCCAAAAUAGCCUAAGUCCCGCAUUAAAUAAACCAUUCUGCCUCCAGCGAUUUUCGCACCUGCGACUCCUCGUUCACAUCUGCGGCUCCACAUCUGCGGCUCUGCUUCUCCGGAAAGUGCCUCGCAGAUGCGGUCCUCCCCUCAGCUGGCUUCCUCGCUUCUGCGACCAGCUGCUCGCUUCUGCGGUGAGCUCGUCGCACCUACGUCCCCCCCCCCCCCCCCCCCCCCCCCGCUUCUGCGAUCGUCUGCUUCACACCUGUGCUUCCGUAGGUGCGGUCCUCCUCCCCGCUUCUGCGGUCCCUAGACAGCCUUUCCUGGGCCGCUUCUACGGUUACUGACUCACUUCUGCGAGCUCGCACCUACGGCUGGCCUUCCGCAGGUACGAUUACACUAGAAGCUGGAUGCUUCAGCCAUUUCCUCUAAGUCCAAACUUGGUCCGCGCCUCGUCCGAUUAACACCCGGGGCCCCGCCCAAACAUACCAACAAGUUUGAAAUCAUAAAACGGACUCGCUCGCUCCCACGUAAUGCAUAAAAUAAUAUCAAAACUAAGAAUUACACUCCAAACCAAAUUGAAUCAACUUAUGAACUUCAAGUUCUUUCAAAUUACUCUGAAUGCGCCAAAACAUACUUAAACUACUUAGAAUGACACCAAAUUUUGCGUGCAAGUCUUUAAUCAUCAUACGGAACUAUUUUCCGGCUCGGAAUCCCAAACGGACCUCGCUAGCACCAAAAUCUACUCCAAACCAAAUUUAAAGAACUUUAAAACCUUCAAGGUGCCAACUAUCAAUACUAAGCGCCGAAACGCUCCUGUUCAUCCAAAACUCGAUCCGAACAUACGCUCAAGUCUAAAAUCAGCAUACGAACCUAUUGGAACUAUCAAAUCCCGGUUUCGAGGUCGUUUACUCAAAAUAUUGACCAAAGUCAAACUUAGUCUUUUAAAGCCAAAUUAAGGAAUCAAAUGUUCUGAUUUCAACCCGAACCCUUCCAAACCUCGAACUAACCAUCCCCGCAAGUCAUAUAAUAGUAAAAGCACAUACAGGGAGUCUUAUUUAGAGAAACGGGAAUCUAGAAGGUAAAACGACCGGUCGGAUCGUUAUAUUUGAUAUCUGCUUCGUAAAAAGAUCUUAUCAAAAACAGUACAUGAAGUUUAUUAAGUUGAGUAACGUUAGAGUAGACAGGAUCGUAGAUGCAUCCUUGUGAUACAGAAGAACCACACAAAAAUGAGAGACAUAUUAAAAAAUCACUUCUACAUCUCGAAAGAGAUAAUUGUCUAGCACAAAAAGGAGCGCAAAAGCAAAUAAACCAGCCAAUUGCAGAUUUGAGCAAAAACACCGAUAAAUAAAGUAUUCUACUGUAAAUCAGAACCUAAUUAGGCAAAUAAAAACUUCUCGAUAUCAAAUAUUUGUAAUAGUCAAUAUAGAGCAAUAAGCAAAAUUAAAAGAUUAUAUUUUACUAGUUCUGUUUCAAAAGGAAGAGCAAAAUGCUGCAAGGGCUUUACCUCGUGCGAAAUCUAUUGCUAUACUUUUUGGUAUGUUGUUCAAAGAAAAGAAUCUACUGCAAAAUUAUUUAUAUUAUCGUAUAAGAUCAAAGAAACAUAACUUAAAUAUGUUGACAGCCCGCAUACAUCUACGUCGGAAGAUGAAACAAAAACAAAACUGAAAAACGCUUCAGCAUGAUAUUAUAUUUUUAGAAAAGGUACCGUUUGAUAGGAUCCCAAUUAAAUAUCAAAUUUUAUUUUUCAAUUCAGUUCACAGCAGAUGAAAGAGCUUCGGUUGUGCUAAAAACUGUUUUUCAAUUCACAUGUUCAAUAUUUAUACCUCUUACUAUUUAAUAGGAUCAAAUUAAAUGGCCAAUUUCAUUUUCCAACUUAUCCAUUCACAAUUUCAUAUAUCAGUUGUAGUUUUACCAUUUAAUAGGAUCCCAAUUAAAUUUCUACCUUUUUUUUUCUAUUCACACGUUCACACAUUAAUUGUAUCUAUAAUUACCAUUUAAUAGUAUCUCAAUUAAAUGACCAACUUCAUUGUCCAAUUUACAAUUUCGCGUAGCAGUAUCUCAAAUAAAAUUGAAGUAAUAUUUUAGUAAAAUAACUUUCACCAAAAGUUUUCACACUUAUAAUAUAAUAUGAUAUUGAGGGGCAUCCUAACGUACAGUAUGUAAUAAGUCUUUUAUCUCCUUUUUUUUGCGUUUUUCCUUCACAAAUUCCUUCUUUAUUUUCUUUCUCAUAAAUUUUAAUUUUAUUCCAUAUGAGAAUUUUCAAUUAUGCAUCAUCCAAAGGUAACAAUUUACUCUAUUCUAUAUUACAGGUUGAGUAUUGGAUAUGCUUAACCUUUGUUUGAGGAACCCUUAUAUGUUUUCGACGGAUCAUCGAGGCUGAUACCGGACAAUUUGAAGCAAAUUAUAGAGUGUCACAUCUCCUUUUUACGGGGAAAGGAGGUUUUUCAAUUUAAGUGACAUUAUUUGAAAUAUGAUUUUAUUUUAUUUUAAGAGUCGUCACUCGAAAUUAUUUAUUUAUGGUGUUCCGAGCCACCAUUUAUGUUAAAUCCCAGAUCAAGAAAAAUUGACUCCUUUUAAGUCCGCGAAACUAGAAGACCGGGUGGGGAAUUAUGUUAACCCGGGAGAAGGUGUUAGGCACUCUCAGAUUCCGUGAUUUUAGCACGGUCGCUUUUAAUCAUACCUG
This 9732-nucleotide long non-coding RNA is filed under the name Nicotiana tabacum (common tobacco). Its description in RNAcentral is "long non-coding RNA (NTAB_LNC015555)". The record is from RNAcentral. Lineage: Eukaryota; Viridiplantae; Streptophyta; Magnoliopsida; Solanales; Solanaceae.